Unclassified non-coding RNA from Chelonoidis abingdonii (Abingdon island giant tortoise), 178 nucleotides. Lineage: Eukaryota; Metazoa; Chordata; Testudines; Testudinidae. The record is from Ensembl.
AUGAAAGGGGCCAGAGCAUGAAAAUCCCCUGGCUUGAGAAUGGGUCCAACAUGUAGAGGCGAUACAAGCUUCCCCUGCAUGCUACCCUAUUGAUGUGACCACAUCCUGACCUGGAGCGACCUCCUUUAGGGCUAAGAGUGAUUUUCAGUCUCCAUAGCCCAUCCAGUCCUUGGUCACA